GUACUCUCUUCUGCAGUGCAUAUACAAAAUUUGGAACAUACAGAGAUUAGCAUGGCCCCUGUGCAAGGAUGAUCGGAUGGUUUGGAUGUUUUGUCCCUUCCA
Molecule: non-coding RNA, 102 nt
Organism: Callithrix jacchus (white-tufted-ear marmoset)
Lineage: Eukaryota; Metazoa; Chordata; Mammalia; Primates; Cebidae
Source: Rfam